CGAGUCCCCAAGAUUUGCCACAUACAAAACACCAUUUGACAUUGCCCCAACAAGGCAACAAGAACCCACUGAAACAAUCUGAGGCUUAGCUAUCCAUGUUCGCUUUACCAAUUCCAAGAAUUCCUCUUCUGUGGCAUCAAAUGCCUUCCUUAUCACAUCUACUGAUAGUCCACCUUGCUCUGUUGCGAACUUGUGGAUAAAAGAGAAUAGAUUAUCAGCAAUAAACCGAGAAGCCUCGGGGCCACCAUGGCCAUCAUAGACACCGACAUAAGUGGCAGAAGAAGAAGUGAAG
This 292-nucleotide unclassified non-coding RNA is filed under the name Hevea brasiliensis (rubber tree). Lineage: Eukaryota; Viridiplantae; Streptophyta; Magnoliopsida; Malpighiales; Euphorbiaceae. The record is from RNAcentral.